Molecule: non-coding RNA, 45 nt
Organism: Schistosoma margrebowiei
Lineage: Eukaryota; Metazoa; Platyhelminthes; Trematoda; Strigeidida; Schistosomatidae
Source: Rfam
ACACAGAUGACGAGUUUCAAAUAGAACGAAACGCACGUCCUGAAU